This 368-nucleotide ribosomal RNA is filed under the name Kinyongia fischeri (Fischer's chameleon). Its description in RNAcentral is "partial 12S ribosomal RNA". It matches the Rfam family "Bacterial small subunit ribosomal RNA", at positions 869 to 1406 of the family's 1533-position model. Lineage: Eukaryota; Metazoa; Chordata; Lepidosauria; Squamata; Chamaeleonidae. The record is from RNAcentral.
CCGCCAGAGAAUAACGAGCCAAAGCUUAAAACCCAAAGGACUUGGCGGCGCUUCACACACCCUAGAGGGGCCUGUCACAUAAUCGAUAACCCACGAUAAACCUCACCACUUUUAGCCCAUUAGCCUAUAUACCGCCGUCGCCAGCCCAUCCCGAUAGGAAAGAAAAAUGGACCCAAUAGUCUCUACACUAGCACGACAGGUCAAGGUGUAGCUUAUAAAGUGGCAAAUGAUGGACCACAUUGCUUUUUCCAGCCAUACUCGAACUGCCCUGAAACACGCACUUUAAAGGUGAAUUUAACAGUAAGUUGGGCAAGAAAACCCACCUAAAGAAUGCUCUGAAGCGUGCACACACCGCCCGUCACCCUCAA